CCUUGGACUCUACGUUUUCGGUCGAUCUCAGCUCCAUCGUCCUCGACGCCAGGGGAAAGACGGUACUCUCUGCUAUCUACACUAGUUUCUCCGAUCCCGUAAUCCCACAUGUUUUUACCUGCCGGCCGGCGGCACGGACACAAGUCAACUCCGGGCUGCUGCUACAAAACUACUCUGCCAGCGGAAAAAGCUGGCGAAACAUUCAGGUGAUUUGGGACUCGGCGACUGCGCUGUGCCAUCGCUGGAAGCUGCUUUGCAAGAAGGUGGCGUUGGAGAUGCUGGAGAACUUCACCAGAGCUAUGGAGCACAGACGUUCCGAUUUGCUGCGAAUCGCCUGGAACUGAAACCACGCUCCGGGACCUGGUCUGUCGAUGAGCUGCGCUACCAACUGGAGAAGACCAACUGGUUUUCGGAGCCUAUCUCUCUCUGAAUUUGAGAAAUCCUGCCUGUAAUGAGCACUUAAACUUGUUUUGACCAUUUUCUGCUGGCCUGUGUGACUCUGCACUGUAACUUGGCAUCUUGGUGACAGCCACUUUGGUCUCAUUUAAUAAAAUGGGGCUGGGGUCUCCCCUACUUUUCUAAAAAAA
Molecule: long non-coding RNA, 587 nt
Organism: Brachypodium distachyon (stiff brome)
Lineage: Eukaryota; Viridiplantae; Streptophyta; Magnoliopsida; Poales; Poaceae
Exons: 2
Source: RefSeq, a predicted model, not a curated record